Molecule: long non-coding RNA, 750 nt
Filed under: Carica papaya (papaya)
Lineage: Eukaryota; Viridiplantae; Streptophyta; Magnoliopsida; Brassicales; Caricaceae
Description: long non-coding RNA (CPAP_LNC015254)
Source: RNAcentral
AGCAACCUUAAGCAAUUUCACACAUGCGUUAAUUCAAGAAAUACUGUUUUAUCAUUUUGAACUUUAAUACCGUGAUAGGAAAUAGGGUGAGGGGUCCUUACUUAUUUUCGGGAUCCGAAUAUGAUUCACAGUGCGCCUGCAGGCUGUCCCUAAUUUUCCCUGAAUUUUUCCCCGGGGAACUGAAACACACUAACAGUACCUGCACGUGUUCCAAAAAAAAUUCAAAUUAGGCCCAGGGCCUCUUUCGGCCCAAAUCGCAACUCCGGCACGGCGGCUCCGCCGUGCUCCGGCCACGGCGCCGCCGCUGGCGGCGGCGAGUCGCCUCGGGUUGGCUGUUUUCGGCCGAAUUCGGCCACACUCGCAUUGGUCCUUGUCAGAAAACAACCCUAGGGCCCUCGGGGGGCCAAAAAAUCACGGAAAAACGGAGCUUACCGGCGGCGGCGCUCUCGGGUGCAGCGGCUCUCCGGCGACGUUCGUGUUUUGGUGAUUCGGCUCCGGUCAACCUGUAGAGAAAAGAAUGGUGAUCACGGUGAUAUAAAAAUUGCAUCGAACGGAGGCCGGGAAGGGCCUCGUCGGAGGCAAAAACCGAGAGGGGGCGCGGCGGCGCCGCUGGGCUUCGGCCGCGUAUUCCGGCCGUUUGGCCGGGAUUUCAGCUUCGAUUUGGCCAUAGGAGGAAUCAGUGGGGAAAAACGAGUCGGGGGUAUGAAAUUUACCUCGAUCGGCGGUCGGAAAUUUCCCCGGUGCGGCGGC